AGUCCAAGCCAACAGUGUCCCCUAUAUUACGUUCAUAUAUAUCCUGAUAUCCUGCUCGACAUGUCAUCUUGGUGAAUACCUGUGGAGGUCGAGGAAGGGAGAAGAUGAUUAGAAGGUGUUUUUACAUGGAUAUAUAAACUUAAUAAACGGAAGAGUUGCAUAUAAAACAAGGACUUGGAUUACACAGAACAAAACAACAUGAAUUGGUUAAGGCAAACUUUUAAAUAUUUUGGGUGGUUCUCAUCGUCAGAUGAACAGCCUUUGAAAGACGAUUUUCACCGGCGAAACCUUGGUGCUUAUAGCGAGGAAAACUUAUCCAAGAAAACACCAGAAACUGUGGAAACGAUCAAAACAUUUGCUAAAAAGUAUCCGUUAAAUACCAGCGAACAGUCGGGGGAAGUGUCAACGCCUCCUGGAAAUGUGUCCGGAGCCGGAAAUUCCCCGAAAGGAGCGGAGACAACGAAUAAAGAAAACAGUGCAAUACAGAGUGAUCGAUUAAUACACGAACAAAGUGAUAUUUUAAUAGACAGGACUCGACUCGAUGAGGUAGAUUUACACGGUGAUACGAUUGAUAUCAUAGAUUCUUGUGAAUUAACUGAAAACGAACCCACGGGUGUAGAGGUGGCAGAAAAACAAGAGAAAAAGAAAUCAAAACGUGCUAAGAAGGUACGGAAGCGAGUAAGGUGGGUUGUAAGAAGAAGUUGGAAAUGGUUAAAGCGUGGCUGGUCAGGGUAUGCACCAGGGGUGGCAUCAGGUUUAAUGUAUUGUUCUAAUGCCCCGGCAACCAUCUUUAAUAUAUAUAACAAUAAAUAAUCACAAAUCUGGCGUAUUUCAGGGGUAAUCUGUUGUGAAAACAAUCGUAAAAUAUGUAAUACGCAACUUAAUCGCGCGCCCUGGCGCAUGUAUGACAAUCAGUGAGAGCUUAUUAAUGUUAUUUUACAAGCAGCAAAAUAGUACAGAUUUAAUACAUUAUGUCACUUUCAUAUUGCCACCAAAUGACUGGUUAUACUGGAUAAAGGGUUUUGGUUAUGAAUAUCCGGUAGUGCCCUUUCAUAUUGCCAGAAAAACAACUGGUUGUACUGAAGAAACGAAUCUAGUUACGAAUAUCCAGUAAUGCUCUUUCACAUUGCCAAGAACACAACUGGUUAUACUGGACACAAUCCUAGUUGUGCAGAGAUGUGUUUUUACAUAGCAGAAAUCCUGAAGAUCCAAGAUGGCCGCCAUAAUAUAUUUGGAGGAAGUGGUAAUAAGUAAUAUUUGGGGAAAGGCUUUUGUCCGGAACGUGCAACGUAUAUCUCAAAAUGCCUAACUAUUAGCUUGGCGACAUAUGAUACCCAAGAAGAUAAUUUCUUAAAUUUAAGGCUCGAUUCGUCAUUCGCAUUUUCGCUAAACUACCAAAUUUCUCACGGCUUAAUCCACGCUAAACAUUUAAUUAAGAAAGCAAAUUAAAAUACCAACGCUAGAUAAUCGAUUUAAUCAGAUUUAUAAGAGGUCUAUCAUUUAAUUUUCGUGGACAACAAGAUGGCGGCGGGCGUAUUAUACAGCGAGCAGGCGGAGCAACAUAGAUCGAUGAAAUUUCAAUUAUACAUAUCUUUGAAAUGGGGUUUAACGUCCUACUGUUCUGCUCAUAACCUGGGCCAAUGAAGACGGGCAUACGCCAUACAGUGUGCUGUGAGGGAAAUUUUGCCCGGGUAGCGGCACUAUGGCCUACUCUUAUAUCGAAUUCCAAUUGUCAAGGGAUCUUUUAUGUGCACGCCAGUGUAUACACGGGUCCUCGGUUUUUCGUUGACAACGAUACGUGUCGAAACGUCGCGCUUUUAGAAUAAAAUCAGUGAUUGAUAACCCAUAAAAAUUGUGUUAUGUUUGGAGAUUCAUCUUUCACAUUAUGUGAGCUGCUCCCACAAAACCAGACUCUUGAACAUUUUUAUAAAAAUAGAGCUGGUAGCAUAUCUGAAUAGUAAACAGCCUAAGCUUUCCAAAAAUACAAUUCUUUUUAAUGUUGUCGUAUCAUCUAGAGUUCGGCUCAUUCAAAGCAACAAGAAGGCAUACAGUUAAUGUUUUUGUGCCCGUAGUACAAAAUGAAGUUGUGCGAGAAGCUCCAGUUUUCGUGGGAGCGGGUCACAUAAUGUGAUUCCUAUAACACAUCGAGAAUUUAAAGUUGCAAUUUCAUAUUUUUAAGUUAUAUUUUUAAAAUGUAUUAAAAUAAAGCCUUAAAAUAGAUGGUAUCUAUAAACAGUCCUACCUAGUUAGGAAUAAUCCUAUUAAUCCUAUAAUUCACUAUUGCCAGUUGAGAAAUUGGCAAAAAUAUCUUUUUCAACUUCAAAUUCAAACGUUUGAAGAUAGCUAUUCCAUGGGGGAAUAGAAAAACAAGGGAAGUAAUUGUGUUAUUAUUUCCUGUGUCAAUUAUUUUGAAGUGGGAGAAUAAUACCUAUGAUGGUAUAAUAGUGAGUCGACAACCUAUUGAGCAAAAGACAUAGAAAUAAUUAUGUUUUGACUUUCUUAGAAAAUAUGAAAUUAUCGCUUUAAGAUAGCUAUGGAUCUGUGUUAUGUUAUUCGGAAUGACUUGUAUUAUCAUACUUACUAUUCAAUAUGCAUAUUAAUUUAGAUAUUUUAACAAAUUAAGCAGCAAUAUUCUCGACAAAUCCUCAUUGUUAAUCCCGGGAUAAAUUCGCUUACAUUAAACGAUAUUUUGGUUGCCAUCUAAUUUAAGGGUUAUUAUGACCAGCGUCUUCCCCUCGGUCAUUUGGAGCUAGUUAUCCUUGGUAAUAGCCCGAUUAUUGUAUUACUGUAUUAAAGCGAGAGAGAGAGAGAGAGAGAGAGAGGGGGGGGGCGGAUCGGUUGGACAGGCGACCCUACUCCUGUCGGGAAUCGAAACCCCGCCAGUUUACUCAAUGACAGAUCUUAUGAUACAGCGUGCACGUGCUACCCCCCCCCCACACACACACGUAUUAUAGCAAUGAUCGAGGCUAGAUACCCCGCCAACACUUCUUUUACCACAUGACCGACCUUUAAGUGUGGCGUCGAUAGCACGUGCAUUGUUUACAUCGGACAUAGUAAUACAAACUGAUCCGAGCAGAAUUGGUCCCUUUUACUCAUUAUGUGCCUCCGCCUACUGUUUUAUAUACCCAUUUACAAAUGUCGAGAUUGGCCACGAUAACCAAUAAAAUAUAAUCUGGUAUUUACCAGGGGCAGGUAACUCUAGUGGACUGGGAGAAAAGCUAAGACUUCCGCAAUAUUUACAUAUCUGAUAGUAAUAAAAUUGCUUGCCAGAAACAACGAUGUAUUUUAUUGUAUUAUGUUAUUCUUUUGUCUAUUUGAAAAAUAAUUCUUAAAUAAAAUAUUUGAAAAUAAUCAUUAAAAA
Patella vulgata (common limpet) is the source of this 3361-nucleotide long non-coding RNA. RefSeq lists it as uncharacterized. The record is from RefSeq and is a predicted model, not a curated record. The transcript is spliced from 3 exons. NCBI's taxonomy places the organism in Eukaryota, Metazoa, Mollusca, Gastropoda, Patellidae.